Molecule: ribosomal RNA, 272 nt
Filed under: uncultured Staphylococcus sp.
Lineage: Bacteria; Bacillati; Bacillota; Bacilli; Caryophanales; Staphylococcaceae
Description: partial 16S ribosomal RNA
Rfam family: Bacterial small subunit ribosomal RNA
Source: RNAcentral
CGUUAGCGGCGGACGGGUGAGUAACACGUGGGUAACCUACCUAUAAGACUGGGAUAACUUCGGGAAACCGGAGCUAAUACCGGAUAAUAUCUCGAACCGCAUGGUUCGAUAGUGAAAGAUGGUUUUGCUAUCACUUAUAGAUGGACCCGCGCCGUAUUAGCUAGUUGGUAAGGUAACGGCUUACCAAGGCGACGAUACGUAGCCGACCUGAGAGGGUGAUCGGCCACACUGGAACUGAGACACGGUCCAGACUCCUACGGGAGGCAGCAGAC